UGCAUCGGCCGGGAAUCGAACCCGGGCCACCCGCGUGGCAGGCGAGCAUUCUACCACUGAUCCACCGAUGG
Molecule: transfer RNA, 71 nt
Filed under: Cordylochernes scorpioides
Lineage: Eukaryota; Metazoa; Arthropoda; Arachnida; Pseudoscorpiones; Chernetidae
Description: tRNA-Gly
Source: RNAcentral